CUGGAGGAAUACGGAGAUAUCAUAGUGAUCGCACUGGUUGUUCAUUUAAUCAGGUUAAUAGAAAUCAUGUUUUACGGGCAACACAGUGAGUUCAAUACUUACGUGUAUGAUAUGAUUCAUCACAAUGGUAUUUUGGGCAAAAAGGCGAUAUAUAAUUGUUUUAUAUUUGUUUUUGCCUAUCAUGCUGGCAUAUGGGCGCAGUUAUUGGCAGUUCGUUAUGUACUCAGUAAGUCAGGGGUAAUCACUAAACAAGAAUUGUAUAUUUAUCUGUGUAUUGUUUUGUUUUAGUUUUUUUGUCUAUAUGGCUUGCCAGCAAGUAAAGGAAUCAUGUUCUCAGUACACAUUAUUUUUUUAGAAAAUGGGCAUGCAUGGUUAUUUUCUAAAGUGAGAAUUGUUGGGCAGUCAAUGUGAAUGUCAAAUUUAAAG
Non-coding RNA from Pelobates cultripes (western spadefoot toad), 426 nucleotides. NCBI's taxonomy places the organism in Eukaryota, Metazoa, Chordata, Amphibia, Anura, Pelobatidae. The record is from the annotation of a GenBank genome assembly.